CGGAAUGUAGCACAGCCGGGUAGUGCAUCUGCUUUGGGAGCAGAGGGUCAUAGGUUCAAAUCCUAUCAUUCCGA
This 74-nucleotide transfer RNA is filed under the name Escherichia phage Pollock. It matches the Rfam family "tRNA". From Rfam's summary of the family: Transfer RNA (tRNA) molecules are approximately 80 nucleotides in length. The record is from Rfam by way of RNAcentral. Lineage: Duplodnaviria; Heunggongvirae; Uroviricota; Caudoviricetes; Schitoviridae.